RNAcentral lists this ribosomal RNA (496 nucleotides) under uncultured bacterium. RNAcentral's name for it is "partial 16S ribosomal RNA". It matches the Rfam family "Bacterial small subunit ribosomal RNA", at positions 28 to 507 of the family's 1533-position model. The record is from RNAcentral.
GAUGAACGCUGGCGGCGUGCCUAAUACAUGCAAGUCGAGCGAACGGACGAGAAGCUUGCUUCUCUGAUGUUAGCGGCGGACGGGUGAGUAACACGUGGAUAACCUACCUAUAAGACUGGGAUAACUUCGGGAAACCGGAGCUAAUACCGGAUAAUAUUUUGAACCGCAUGGUUCAAAAGUGAAAGACGGUCUUGCUGUCACUUAUAGAUGGAUCCGCGCUGCAUUAGCUAGUUGGUAAGGUAACGGCUUACCAAGGCAACGAUGCAUAGCCGACCUGAGAGGGUGAUCGGCCACACUGGAACUGAGACACGGUCCAGACUCCUACGGGAGGCAGCAGUAGGGAAUCUUCCGCAAUGGGCGAAAGCCUGACGGAGCAACGCCGCGUGAGUGAUGAAGGUCUUCGGAUCGUAAAACUCUGUUAUUAGGGAAGAACAUAUGUGUAAGUAACUGUGCACAUCUUGACGGUACCUAAUCAGAAGCCACGGCUAACUACGUG